Molecule: unclassified non-coding RNA, 222 nt
Filed under: Hevea brasiliensis (rubber tree)
Lineage: Eukaryota; Viridiplantae; Streptophyta; Magnoliopsida; Malpighiales; Euphorbiaceae
Source: RNAcentral
GGAUUUUUGGAUAUUGUUUUUCUCGUUCCUUUGUGGAGUUGGAACAGGUUUGGCAGUGAUGAAUAACUUGGGACAAAUGGGGUUGGCUAUGGGUUAUGUGGAUGUGUCCAUUUUCGUGUCAUUCACAAGCAUUUGGGGAUUUUUCGGGCGUAUUUUUUCCGGAUCUGUCUCUGAAUACUUCAUCAAGUACGUAAACUGAUCAUUCUAUACAACUUUGUUUUG